GACGAACGCUGGCGGCGUGCUUAACACAUGCAAGUCGAGCGGUAAGGCCCUUUCGGGGGUACACGAGCGGCGAACGGGUGAGUAACACGUGGGUGACCUGCCCUCAGCUCUGGGAUAAGCCUGGGAAACCGGGUCUAAUACCGGAUAUGACUCCAUGACGCAUGUUGUGGGGUGGAAAGCCUUGUGCGGCUGAGGAUGGGCCCGCGGCCUAUCAGCUUGUUGGUGGGGUGANGGCCUACCAAGGCGACGACGGGUAGCCGGCCUGAGAGGGCGACCGGCCACACUGGGACUGAGACACGGCCCAGACUCCUACGGGGAGGCAGCAGUGGGGAAUCUUGCGCAAUGGGCGAAAGCCUGACGCAGCGACGCCGCGUGAGGGAUGAC
RNAcentral lists this ribosomal RNA (384 nucleotides) under uncultured bacterium. RNAcentral's name for it is "bacterial SSU rRNA". It matches the Rfam family "Bacterial small subunit ribosomal RNA", at positions 28 to 412 of the family's 1533-position model. The record is from RNAcentral.